UGGAAUGUAAAAAGUUCUACGAAUAAGGACUGGGUAAGACUAGUGCCAGCCGCCGCGGUAAUACUAGCGGUCCAAGUCGCAGCCAUUCUUAUUGGGUCUAAAACAUCCGUAGCUUGCUUGAUAAGUUUUCUGUGAAAUCUCAUAUCUCAAGUAUAAGAAUUGUGGAAAAUACUGUCAAGCUAGAGACCGGGAGACGUAAAGAGUACGUCUAAAGUAGCGGUAAAAUGUGUUGAUCUUAGGCGGACUGACGAUAGCGAAGGCACUUUACGAGAACGGUUCUGACAGUAAGGGAUGAAGGCUAGGGGCGCAAAACGGAUUAGAUACCCGUGUAGUCCUAGCAGUAAGCACUGCACACUAAACCUUGUGAUCUCUUCGAGAGAUUGCAGGGCUGCAGGGAAGCCGAAGAGUGUGCUACCUGGGAAGUAUAGUCGCAAGGCUGAAACUUAAAGGAAUUGGCGGGGAGACACUACAACGGGUGACGCGUGCGGUUCAAUUAGAUUAUACACCGUGAACCUCACCAGGAGCGACAGCAGAAUGAAGGUCAGUCUAAAGGGCUUACCUGACACGCUGAGAGGGGUUGCAUGGCCGACGUCAGCCUGUGCUGUGAGGCGAUCUGUUAAAUCAGAUAACAGGCAAGACCCACAUCUUUAUUUAC
RNAcentral lists this ribosomal RNA (655 nucleotides) under uncultured euryarchaeote. RNAcentral's name for it is "bacterial SSU rRNA". It matches the Rfam family "Archaeal small subunit ribosomal RNA", at positions 413 to 1067 of the family's 1478-position model. The record is from RNAcentral. Lineage: Archaea; Methanobacteriati; Methanobacteriota.